CUUGAGACUGAGGAUUUUUCCUUUUUGGAACGGAAGAGACGUUUGGGAGAGAGGUUUUUAGGGUUGAUGAACUUCAUUGAGUUUGUUAGAAAGUGAAGAGAAUGAGAAUGAAAAUGAGAAGAAGGAGAAGAAGAGAAUAAGAAGAGGGUUUGUUGAGGGGAAAGAGAGAGGAAGGUGAAGGGGGUUAAAUGGAUGCAGUGAAGGCAUGAAUAGCAGGUCCAUUACUCUUGAGAGUGUAGCUUCCACGAAGUUUCCUAACAUUAAUAGAUUGAUUGAAAAUCAGUGUGUAUACCAUAUUUAUAUUCAUUACUAUUUAUUUUUAUUUUAAAGAGUAGUUAAUGUUUUUUUAAGUCAUGUUUUAGAUUAUUGUCCGUUUCGCCCGAUUUUUUUUUUUUAAGUUUAUGCAAUCCGUUUAUGAAAUAUAAAUUAGAUUUUAUGUUAUUUUAUAAGUUCUUAUUAGUGG
RNAcentral lists this long non-coding RNA (463 nucleotides) under Trifolium pratense (red clover). RNAcentral's name for it is "long non-coding RNA (TPRA_LNC008966)". Lineage: Eukaryota; Viridiplantae; Streptophyta; Magnoliopsida; Fabales; Fabaceae. The record is from RNAcentral.